CCUACGGGGUGCUGCAGUGGGGAAUAUUGGACAAUGGGCGAAAGCCUGAUCCAGCCAUGCCGCGUGUGUGAAGAAGGCCUUCGGGUUGUAAAGCACUUUCAGUGGGGAAGAAAGCCUUGGGGCUAAUACCCUCGAGGAAGGACAUCACCCACAGAAGAAGCACCGGCUAACUCCGUGCCAGCAGCCGCGGUAAUACGGAGGGUGCGAGCGUUAAUCGGAAUUACUGGGCGUAAAGCGCGCGUAGGCGGUCUGAUAAGCCGGUUGUGAAAGCCCCGGGCUCAACCUGGGAACGGCAUCCGGAACUGUCAGGCUAGAGUGCAGGAGAGGAAGGUAGAAUUCCCGGUGUAGCGGUGAAAUGCGUAGAGAUCGGGAGGAAUACCAGUGGCGAAGGCGGCCUUCUGGACUGACACUGACGCUGAGGUGCGAAAGCGUGGGUAGCAAACAGGAUUAGAUACCAGAGUAGUC
RNAcentral lists this ribosomal RNA (465 nucleotides) under Vreelandella stevensii. Its description in RNAcentral is "partial 16S ribosomal RNA". It matches the Rfam family "Bacterial small subunit ribosomal RNA", at positions 338 to 795 of the family's 1533-position model. The record is from RNAcentral. Lineage: Bacteria; Pseudomonadati; Pseudomonadota; Gammaproteobacteria; Oceanospirillales; Halomonadaceae.